This is a long non-coding RNA of Neogale vison (American mink), 533 nucleotides long. RefSeq lists it as uncharacterized. Lineage: Eukaryota; Metazoa; Chordata; Mammalia; Carnivora; Mustelidae. The transcript has 4 exons. The record is from RefSeq and is a predicted model, not a curated record.
AUACAUAUCUCAUUUCACCUUUCAUAUUGGACUAGCCAGACCUCCAUGAUCAAAACCUGUCUUUUAAGGAAAUCCUUCUCUCUGCAUGGCUGUGGUGGUAAGGCCCCAUGCUGGACAAUCAGAAUAGACACUGGCUGCGAACAACCAAGCUGCUCUCAUUCUGACUUCAAGAUCAAAGUUUUGUUAAAGAAACAAGUAUUCAGAGAUCUUGUUAGAGAAUGAAUGGCCCUGUGAAGCAGAACUCAGGCCUCCAGCGUCUGCUUGUCCGGACCUAAAGGUGUUUCCUGAGGGCCGAGGCCGCCCUGCCUCGCAGGUAUCUCCGCAGACCACAGCGACGCGCCCCGAAGGCGCGACGCUCCCUCCUGGCACGCACCCGGGCCGCGGGCUCCUCCGCUCCCCCUCCAACCCCAGCUCUGCUGCCCAGGCCGGAUGCUGAGUGAGAUAAUGUGAGGUUUGGGAGGCUAUUAUAAAUGCAAAUCUGGUCCUAGGAUAAUGCGUCUGAGUGGAACCAUACACUGGAAAGUUGAUUACAA